UUCCAUGUGAUGUCACCAGUAUUGUGGCAACACCAAAUGUCAUUGGGACAUUGGUGCAGUGUCUGGUAUUUCACCUACAGACAUUCUGUCUAGACUGAACAGGAUUCUUGGGAGACAGGAUGGAGAGGAUAGGGACACCAAAGAGAGGCAGAAGGAAGAUGGCCUUCAGUCGCCAUGCCACACAUCAAGAAAUAAAUGGUUCUGGCGAAAGCACAGUGAGUCCUGGGAAAGGGAUGGGGAGCUUCCUGAAGGAGGAAGGCUUGAUCUGAUCCGUCCAGGAGUGAGGCUAAGCAGGGACUACUAGGAAGGCAUCAUCCACACCCUUCUUCCUCACUGAGCAGGAGCAGCAGCUGAACCUGGUGGAUAAACUGACCCUUCAGCUACAGAUGAUGACCAAUGAGAGGAAUGAACUGCUUAAAUUCCUGGCCCUAUAUAACAGCAAUGAGUUGAACAACAGCACCCUCUACAGUCAGCUCCCAAAUGAAUGGACUCAGCUAAAGGAAAAUGUGAGCAUGUUGAAAGAGGACAACAGAAAGCUGCAGGGGGAGCAGAUUUUACUACAAGAGUCCUGCAAGGAGGUGAGGAGGCUCUGUGAGGAGGCUCAUGAGAAGAUCUAUGACCUCUAGACAAAGCAGCAGCAGCACCUGUUAAGAAGACUGGGAAGGCUGGAAGAAGCCAGAGACACCUCAAAGGCAUGACAUUCUACACUCCAGAUUCAAGGCCUCUUCAGAAAAUGCUACCUCUUUUCAGCUUUGAACUCACUAGUGAUGCAAAUAUCAACCUACCAUCAGGCAAUCCAGCCACAAUGUCAUGCAUAUCUGUUGGCUCACUAUCCCCAGAGAAAAGUUUGUAUCAGAAAUAAGUCUACUCUUCCCUGCCUCACUUGAGAUGGCUUGAGUUGAGUUCCCUGUCAUGACUUGUAACAGAUAAACUUUGCUUUUGCAUUCUGGUAUGCUUGUCCUUGGUGGUCUCUCUGGGGGUUACGAUCUGGGCACAACAUUUGGUGCUCAUUCCGGGAUCCCCAGAGACCCCCCGCCGGGACCCCUAAGAGCUCCAGAGGUCCAUGUGCACCGAUCGGUAAGAGCGCUCUCUGUCUUAUGUCUGUCCUGUAUAUGUCUCUCUCUUGUUACUUUAGUUUUGUACUGGUCGACCGAUUUGUACUUUUACAGACACCGAUUUGUACUUUUGCAGGCUCUCACUGGGACAGAUGUGUCUGGACAGUGAUCCUGAGAGGGGAAGAGGGACGCCUCCUUCCCUGAUUUGGGCGAGGACCCCCUGGUCCUGAGCCAUUUGGGCAAGGGACCCUCUGGUCCUGAGCCAUUUGAGGCCACCUCAGAGGUGACCAUUUGGUUUGGGUAUCUCCCCCGGCCCCAGGAGGGAGUGCCGACUUGUACUUUGUCCUGGGAAAUUGUUGGUGUCUUUUUGUAUCUUGUUUUGAUUGUGGCUUUGUUGUUUUCUCUCUUUGUUGGUUUUCAUUGAAGACUUUCUCACCCCUAGACUUAACCAGCCACUGCUGCUUCAGAGACCCAGGGUGCCACUGAGAGGGCAAGGCAGUCUGUGAACAUCACAGGGCCUAGAUGCAGCGGGUUCGGGUUGGGGGGGGCAGCUUGCUCAGAGAGCUGUAAAAUAGAGGCAGCCAGGCUGGCCCAGAGGCUGCAUGGGAACUAGGCAUGGCUGUGUGCUAGGGCAGGCUGGGAGCACUGUGGGGCCCAGAUAUUGCUGGCAGGUUCUGGCUGGGCUCCCAAAGCCAGCAGGAGCCUGGAGGAGCUCAGAAUAUGGGAGCUGGUAAAAAAAACUAACUGCCCCUCCAACCAGGACAUGG
Molecule: non-coding RNA, 1822 nt
Organism: Peromyscus maniculatus bairdii (prairie deer mouse)
Lineage: Eukaryota; Metazoa; Chordata; Mammalia; Rodentia; Cricetidae
Source: RefSeq, a predicted model, not a curated record